UACAGAGGGUGCGAGCGUUGUUCGGAAUCACUGGGCGUAAAGCGCGCGCAGGCGGGCGUGUAAGUCAGAAGUGAAAUUCCGGGGCUCAACCCCGGAGCUGCUCCUGAUACUGCAGGUCUGGAGACCGGUAGAGGCUGGUGGAAUUCCCGGUGUAGCGGUGGAAUGCGUAGAGAUCGGGAAGAACACCCGUGGCGAAGGCGGCCAGCUGGGCCGGUUCUGACGCUGAGGCGCGAAAGCGUGGGGAGCAAACAGG
This 253-nucleotide ribosomal RNA is filed under the name uncultured bacterium. RNAcentral describes it as "partial 16S ribosomal RNA". It matches the Rfam family "Bacterial small subunit ribosomal RNA", at positions 524 to 776 of the family's 1533-position model. The record is from RNAcentral. RNAcentral also lists the same sequence under 1 other name.